UGCCUCCCAGAACUACUCUACUAAGUUAAUAUGCUUAUUAUAUUAUAUAAUAAGCAUAUUAACUUUGGGGACUUAAGAUUUUUGGAAGUUCAGAAGUCCAAAUCCACCUUUCUUAUGCUUUGGAGAACACAAGGAAGUUGGUGGAAGAACAUAGAAUGCGUAGAUUCAAUUUCUUCCCCUCUUUAAAAUAUCAGGGCAUGUGGGGGUGCAAGGAAGCUGCCAUUUAAACCAAUCCCACAAAUUGCUGCUUGAAUUUUUUCUUUAAAGUGCAAAGGCCUUAGCAGACUUAUUUUCCUAGUCAUAGACCUUACUAUGGAAGGGAAACCCCUUUGGUGAUCAACGGUGGAUGAUGAGCAUUUAGAAACUGGGCAAUGAAAUACAGAGGAAUGUCAGUCAUGGAAAUGAAGGCAUAGAAAUAGAAGCACUGAGCAGACAAACACCUCUUCUUAUGAACAGAAAUACUGAAAAUUAAUAUUUCCCUAACAGUAAAUAAUUUGGCCGGGGGAGGCUGUUCCCGCUCCGAAUAUUUUUCAGCUCUAAUUUUGUCUGAGCAUGGCUACAAAACCAGGGUUGCUGGGGGUGGGGGAACGGGAUAUCUUCCUUACCCAUGGACACAAAUGGCAAGGGUGGGUCCCUGUCUUCAUGUUAUUUAUUCCAUUUUGUCUGUACUAUGUCCCUUCUUGAAGUGACCCGGCUGUCCAAGACGUCAGAGGCAGAGACCGAGGUGAUUCAGGUGCGGAUUCUCCUUUUGACCGAAGUUCUCCAGCAGCUCCAAAUUGGCAAAGCCCUUAGGUGCAGUGUGUGCCAAAUCCACUGGCUGCAGCACGGAGACAACUGUUACCUCUUUAAAAGCAGGCAGAUGAGCUGGAUAUCGACCAUGGGCUUCUGUAAAGACGAGUCCUCCUCCCUGCUUGUUAUCAAAAGCACAGAAGAGAUGGUACGACUGGGUCAUGGCUGGCUCGCAGCACCCGGGUGGAUGGGAGAGUCUUGAUCAUGUCAGAGGGAUCCCACCAUAACUUGUAAUAUAGGUCCUGGGAGCAGCACCAAUAAAGUAUGCAUUAUCCACCA
This 1068-nucleotide long non-coding RNA is filed under the name Pogona vitticeps (central bearded dragon). RNAcentral describes it as "lncRNA (ENSPVIG00000017269.1)". Lineage: Eukaryota; Metazoa; Chordata; Lepidosauria; Squamata; Agamidae. The record is from RNAcentral.